This 215-nucleotide long non-coding RNA is filed under the name Volvox carteri. RNAcentral describes it as "long non-coding RNA (VCAR_LNC004302)". The record is from RNAcentral. Lineage: Eukaryota; Viridiplantae; Chlorophyta; Chlorophyceae; Chlamydomonadales; Volvocaceae.
CACUACUCUGCUACGGCUGCCCAACGUUUCCAACCACCCACUCACCGUCUGAUGGCGGCCCGACUUGGCCCUGAAGAUGGUGGUGGCGGUGGGGCGGGUGGUGAUGGUGCGUCCAACAGCGGCCCCAGCAAAGCCAAGUUAUCAAGCGCAGGGGGAAAAAAGAGGGAGAGUAUCCUCACGAAUGGGAGAGAAGACAAAAAAUAAAAUUAGAAAGU